GGGGCUGUAGCUCAUCUGGGAGAGCGCCACAAUGGCAUUGUGGAGGUAAGGGGUUCGAGUCCCCUCAGCUCCACCG
RNAcentral lists this transfer RNA (76 nucleotides) under Chloroflexota bacterium. RNAcentral's name for it is "Chloroflexi bacterium (sediment metagenome) tRNA-Ala". It matches the Rfam family "tRNA". From Rfam's summary of the family: Transfer RNA (tRNA) molecules are approximately 80 nucleotides in length. Their secondary structure includes four short double-helical elements and three loops (D, anti-codon, and T loops). Further hydrogen bonds mediate the characteristic L-shaped molecular structure. tRNAs have two regions of fundamental functional importance: the anti-codon, which is responsible for specific mRNA codon recognition, and the 3' end, to which the tRNAs corresponding amino acid is attached (by aminoacyl-tRNA synthetases). tRNAs cope with the degeneracy of the genetic code in two manners: having more than one tRNA (with a specific anti-codon) for a particular amino acid; and 'wobble' base-pairing, i.e. permitting non-standard base-pairing at the 3rd anti-codon position. RNAcentral also lists the same sequence under 1 other name. The record is from RNAcentral. Lineage: Bacteria; Bacillati; Chloroflexota.